Molecule: small nuclear RNA, 150 nt
Organism: Nannospalax galili (Upper Galilee mountains blind mole rat)
Lineage: Eukaryota; Metazoa; Chordata; Mammalia; Rodentia; Spalacidae
Gene: U12
Rfam family: U12 minor spliceosomal RNA
About the family: Although the U12 sequence is very divergent from that of U2, the two are functionally analogous.
Source: Ensembl
AUGCCUUAAACUUAUGAGUAAGGAAAAUAAUGAUUCGCGGUGACGCCGGAGUCCUCACUGCCAAUGUGAGACAAAUUUUUGAAUGUGGAAAGGUUGCCCCUAAGGCAACCCACCUACUUUGCGGGAUCCCUAGGUGAAGUGAUCUGCCUG